Molecule: transfer RNA, 69 nt
Filed under: Ictidomys tridecemlineatus (thirteen-lined ground squirrel)
Lineage: Eukaryota; Metazoa; Chordata; Mammalia; Rodentia; Sciuridae
Description: Spermophilus tridecemlineatus (thirteen-lined ground squirrel) tRNA
Rfam family: tRNA
About the family: Transfer RNA (tRNA) molecules are approximately 80 nucleotides in length. Their secondary structure includes four short double-helical elements and three loops (D, anti-codon, and T loops).
Source: Rfam by way of RNAcentral
GGGGCUGUAGCUCAGAGGUAGAGCACUUGCCUCGUAUGUGUGAGGCACUGGGUUCUAUUCUCAGCACCA